GGAAUAUUGGUCAAUGGGGGCAACCCUGAACCAGCCAAGUCGCGUGAAGGAUGAAGGUCUUAUGGAUUGUAAACUUCUUUUAUACAGGAAUAAAUUGGGGGACGUUUCCCCUUUUGCAUGUACUGUAUGAAUAAGGAUCGGCUAACUCCGCGCCAGCAGCCGCGGUAAUACGGAGGAUCCGAGCGUUAUCCGGAUUUAUUGGGUUUAAAGGGUGCGCAGGCGGGAUGUUAAGUCGGCGGUGAAAUUUUGCAGCUCAACUGUAAAAGUGCCUUCGAUACUGGGUUCCUUGAGUGUAGAUGAAGUAGGCUGAAUUUGUGGUGUAGCGGUGAAAUGCGUAGCUAUCACGAGGAACUCCGGUUGCGCAGGCAGCGUACUAACCUACAACUGACGCU
RNAcentral lists this ribosomal RNA (392 nucleotides) under uncultured bacterium. RNAcentral describes it as "bacterial SSU rRNA". It matches the Rfam family "Bacterial small subunit ribosomal RNA", at positions 358 to 747 of the family's 1533-position model. The record is from RNAcentral.